RNAcentral lists this transfer RNA (65 nucleotides) under Grapsus albolineatus. Its description in RNAcentral is "tRNA-Asn". The record is from RNAcentral. Lineage: Eukaryota; Metazoa; Arthropoda; Malacostraca; Decapoda; Grapsidae.
UUGAUAGAAACCAAAUAGAGGUGUAUCACUGUUAAUGAUAAAAUUGAACUUUAAUUCCUAUCAAG